CCGCGUUUCAUGGAGAGUCUUAAGUUAGUCCUAGGUCCUAGGACCUAGGACCAAAAUAAGGAUGGAAUAGGAUUGCACUUAAGACCGUUUCAAUAAACAAUCUUAUCUUUAGUCACAGACUUAGUCCUAACUUUUGACUUAGGACCAAAUUGUACUCUCGAAUUGAAGUUAAAAAAUAUAGCGCACGCGCUGUUUGCCGCAAUAUGUCAUUCGUCUGCGACAAAAUAAGGGAAGCGCCGCAGGAAAGCUACAGAACAGAUCGGACUCUGAAUACCUUGUUCUUACAGAGGCUGUAAAGAUCUUUCUCCCAGUAAGAAGGAAAAACAUGCUCCUUUUGUUACCAAUAGCGCUUAAUGGAGUGUCUGGGAGUCGGUGGUUGAUCGGUAACUUUUGACAUUUCUGUGUUAAUUUUUCUUUCGUAUAGACUUUAGUCAUAUUUAACAAGGGAAGCAACUAGAUUUUGAAAAAAGCGGAAAUAUUUUUAUGAUGUUCAAUUCCGGAGGAAAAUCAGAUUUAAUUAAGAGUUGGCUGCAUGAUGUGUCAGUCAUGUAACGGCAUAUUCAUCUAUGUGCAGAAGUGAUGGCUGGAUACAGAAUUAUUUAUUAGUUGGACAACAGUGAAUACAGGUCACAGCAUGCUGAUAGAGAUCCUCAGCUCAUAUGGUAGCCAGGGUUUAGCAGUGAGCUGACUCAAAGAUGCCAUUUAGUGAUUUAAUGUGGAUAAUCCAUUCAGAUCAUUCACCAAUGAUGUACAACACUGAUGGAACUGAAGGCAAUACUUGCACUGACAGUCAGGGCUGGUUAUUUAAAGUAUAUAUAAUUAGAUGUACCUCCUGAUGUACCUCCUUAAAUACGAGAUUUCUGCCAUGUGAAAGGAGCAAGUUGAAAGAAGCACUGUUGGAGAUGGGGUCCAUGAACCUUAUGUAUACAGCUAUAUGAACAAGGGCUGGAACAAAGCAGACAAGACUGGACUUUUAAUUGUUAAUGAAUAUUUUAAGUUUUAUUGUAUGUCACCAGUAUAAUAGGGUUAUUAUAAAAGUAGUUAGAUCUUGGAUGUGGUAUUUGGCUUGGAGUGCAUUUUGCCAGACCUGGAACACACGAGGCCUGCAAGCGCAAAGUCUGACCCGCUGUGGUAAAAUCGCCAAAGGCCUAAUACAACCUCCCAGAUCAAGCUACUGUUAUAAUCGUACUUUAAUUCUUUAUCUCCAUGUACUAAAAAUCAUUUCACAAAAAUACCCUAGCGUUACAGGCGAUAUAUUAAAUUUGGUACGCCUUUAAAGUUUAAAUUGAUGUUGUUGUUCUUGUUUAUACACAAUUGAUUACCGUGCCUUGUUUACAUGUGGGAUUUAUUGUUUGAAAAUGAAAUAAAAAUGUUUAAAAUGAAAAAGAAAAUGUCUAUCAAAAGCUUGCACUUUUAUGUUAAGGGAGUAGUGACAGGAAAUUUUCCAUUUUUUGUAGCUCAACCUGAUCACAAAGUGCUCAGGGGUGAGUAAUUGUUGUCACUCAUUGCAUGUCUAUCCGCCCGUCCAUACUUUUCUUAACCUACAUCUCUUAAAUCAUUUGGUGGCAGGCAGAUGAUGAAACUUGGCUUGGAUGUCCUCUGGAUAUUCCUGCCUUUCCCUAGGGAAAAACCUUGUCUAAAGUACUGUAACUAUUAUGACGUCAUAAACUAUAUAAGUUUCGUCAGGAAAACACAGA
This is a long non-coding RNA of Mercenaria mercenaria, 1697 nucleotides long. RefSeq lists it as uncharacterized. NCBI's taxonomy places the organism in Eukaryota, Metazoa, Mollusca, Bivalvia, Venerida, Veneridae. The record is from RefSeq and is a predicted model, not a curated record. The transcript is spliced from 3 exons.